This 253-nucleotide ribosomal RNA is filed under the name uncultured bacterium. Its description in RNAcentral is "partial 16S ribosomal RNA". It matches the Rfam family "Bacterial small subunit ribosomal RNA", at positions 524 to 776 of the family's 1533-position model. The record is from RNAcentral.
UACGUAGGGUGCAAGCGUUGUCCGGAAUUAUUGGGCGUAAAGAGCGUGUAGGCGGCCCGAUUAGUCCGCUGUGAAAGUCCAGGGCUCAACCCUGGAAUGCCGGUGGAUACUGUCGGGCUAGAGUCCGGAAGGGGCGAGUGGAAUUCCUGGUGUAGCGGUGAAAUGCGCAGAUAUCAGGAGGAACACCAGUAGCGAAGGCGGCUCGCUGGGCCGUCCCUGACGCUGAGACGCGAAAGCUAGGGGAGCAAACAGG